Molecule: long non-coding RNA, 2035 nt
Organism: Callithrix jacchus (white-tufted-ear marmoset)
Lineage: Eukaryota; Metazoa; Chordata; Mammalia; Primates; Cebidae
Source: Ensembl
CCCCCAUGAAAGUCUUCUCUCAGUGAGAGGGUAGGAACAUCUCAAUACCUUGCAGGUGGCCAAGAGUAUGUUUCUCUGAUCCAAAUGUUCUAAGAGUCAUGCAUUUCCUUUUAAUUGCCAUUAGCUAUCCCCAAAAGUAUAUUUCCUAUGUAGUUAUUACACACCAAAUCUCUUUCAUAAUGCGAAGUAAUUUCUGAUAUCCCCAAAAAGCAAAAAACAUCAGAUAACACAUGUAAAAUAGAACAGAGCCUUAGAUUUUGAGAGAGAUCUAUCCACUUUCACUUUCUAAGGUUUCAUGAGGAAAACAGAUGUUUUUCCCAAAACAGGGUCUAUGGCACCUCCUCUGUUUUUUUCCAAGGAGUUCCAGGCUGUUAGAACUUGAAUAGCUGCUUUUAAUUAAGCUGACUUUUAACCACAGGGCUCUCUUAUUAAAAUUUUUUUUAAAAAAACACGUUAUUUUAGGUUUCUUGUUACCCAAUUUUAGCCAGACAAAAAGGCAAAUAUUUCUGGCUUUUAAAUUUUACUAAAAGUAACCACCUAGGUGCUCAGAGAAAGGAAAAUUCAAGAUGAUUCGUGGAUGAGAAGCGAAUUAACAAAUGGUGGAGAUCACAACAGAUAUCAACCAGAAAGGACUCAUUCCCUAAGUCAGGAACUGAACUCCGAACCCAGGCCACCACUGUGAAAAGAUAAGAAAGGCAAAAGACAGAAAGGGAGAAAAACAUUCUCAGGGAGGCCAGAGAAAGGCCCACCCAUUGCAGCAACAGUGUAAAGUUCAGGUGGCUGCUCAUAGGGGAUCUUUUCCUGCAGUGUCAUCAGUUCUCAGGUUUCCCCUUUUGGAAAGAAAAAAGCUCCCCAUACCAUAUGUUCCUGUACAUGCCUCAUCCUAUCACCCACAGCCAUCAGCAAAGAGUGCAAGGCAGAUUAAUCCAAAAAAUAUUGGUUAACAUCCCCUAAGUUGGGCCUCUAACCCAAUCCCAUCUUCUACCCAGGUAAAUGCACCCCACUUACCCAAAGUUGGCCAAUUGGGGCAUGCAGACAACUUUCCUUUGGGUCAGGGGUCUCUUGAGUACCGUCCCUUCACGUCACGGGAAAGAAGUUGCUGGAAAGGGAUUCCAAUCCAGACCCCAAGAGAAGGUUCUUGGAUCUGGCACAAGGAAGAAUUCCGGGAAAGGGGUCCCAAUCCAGACCCCAAGAGAGGGUUCUUGGAUCUUAUGCAAGAAAGAAUUAAGGGUGAGUCUGCAGUACAAAGUAAAAGCAACUUUAUUUAAAAAGUAAAGUGAUGAAAGGACAGCUACUCUAUACACAGAGUAGGAUGCUCCCGAAAGUAAGAGGAGGAAGGCAUGCACCCUAAAUACAAUGUUUACAUAUAUGGGUAGAUGUGCGUUUGUGAUACGAGGGUUUGUGAUAAAGGAUUACUUGUCUUAAUAACUAUAUUUUGCAAGAAUCAGUAUUAUUAUCUUUAAGGCAAAAUUAGGAAUGCCUUUGUUGUCCAGAUAUUGGGAUAUCUGGACACUCUCAAGUCUGGGUCUCUUUAGUAAACAUUAUUAAUUUGUUCCAUUAACCAUAAACAUCUAGAGGCUAGGAAUGCCGCACUUUUUGAGAAUGCAGCCCAGCAAGUCUGUCUCAUUUUCCUAGCCCUCAUUCAAGAUGGAGUCACUCUGGUACAAACACCUCUAACAAUCUCACUAUCUUAUUUGCUUAUGUAUUUGCAGCAGACACUAGACCAGAAGCUCCUAGCAACAAGAGCUGGUAUCUUUCUAAUUUUCUGUUCUAAGUAUUGACACCAGUAUCUGACACAUAGUCAGCACUUGAUAAACGUUUUCCAAUAAAUAACCAAAUGGUAAGAGUUAGCGAAGCAAAGCAUCCAGCCAUCUAAUAUCCCAGAAAUAUAUUUUUUCAUUUUCUAAAGAGAAAAUGUAUAGUUUAGAAGACAGGAGAAGUUAUCGUUUCUUAUUGCCAAAAUGAUCAGGAGUUUAUAAAAAUGCCCGUAGAAUUUAUGACUUAUACAGUGCAAGGCAGGGACAUUGAUUACCAG